RNAcentral lists this ribosomal RNA (195 nucleotides) under uncultured bacterium. RNAcentral's name for it is "partial 16S ribosomal RNA". It matches the Rfam family "Bacterial small subunit ribosomal RNA", at positions 1308 to 1500 of the family's 1533-position model. The record is from RNAcentral.
CAACUCGACUACAUGAAGCUGGAAUCGCUAGUAAUCGCGGAUCAGAAUGCCGCGGUGAAUACGUUCCCGGGUCUUGUACACACCGCCCGUCACACCAUGGGAGUCAGUAACGCCCGAAGCCGGUGACCCAACCUAAUCAGGAGGGAGCCGUCGAAGGCGGGACGGAUGACUGGGGUGAAGUCGUAACAAGGUACC